Molecule: ribosomal RNA, 854 nt
Filed under: uncultured bacterium
Lineage: Bacteria
Description: bacterial SSU rRNA
Rfam family: Bacterial small subunit ribosomal RNA
Source: RNAcentral
GAGUUUGAUCCUGGCUCAGAACGAACGCUGGCGGCAGGCCUAACACAUGCAAGUCGAGCGAGACCUUCGGGUCUAGCGGCGGACGGGUUAGUAACGCGUGGGAAUGUGCCCUUCUCUGCGGAAUAGCCACUGGAAACGGUGAGUAAUACCGCAUACGCCCUUCGGGGGAAAGAUUUAUCGGAGAAGGAUCGGCCCGCGUUAGAUUAGAUAGUUGGUGGGGUAAUGGCCUACCAAGUCUACGAUCUAUAGCUGGUUUUAGAGGAUGAUCAGCAACACUGGGACUGAGACACGGCCCAGACUCCUACGGGAGGCAGCAGUGGGGAAUCUUAGACAAUGGGCGCAAGCCUGAUCUAGCCAUGCCGCGUGUGUGAUGAAGGUCUUAGGAUCGUAAAGCACUUUCGCCAGGGAUGAUAAUGACAGUACCUGGUAAAGAAACCCCGGCUAACUCCGUGCCAGCAGCCGCGGUAAUACGGAGGGGGUUAGCGUUGUUCGGAAUUACUGGGCGUAAAGCGUACGUAGGCGGAUCAGAAAGUAAGGGGUGAAAUCCCAGGGCUCAACCCUGGAACUGCCUCUUAAACUCCUGGUCUUGAGUUCGAGAGAGGUGAGUGGAAUUCCAAGUGUAGAGGUGAAAUUCGUAGAUGUUUGGAGGAACACCAGUGGCGAAGGCGGCUCACUGGCUCGAUACUGACGCUGAGGUACGAAAGUGUGGGGAGCAAACAGGAUUAGAUACCCUGGUAGUCCACACCGUAAACGAUGAAUGCCAGUCGUCGGGCAGUAUACUGUUCGGUGACACACCUAACGGAUUAAGCAUUCCGCCUGGGGAGUACGGUCGCAAGGUUAAAACUCAAAGGAAU